RNAcentral lists this ribosomal RNA (480 nucleotides) under uncultured bacterium. RNAcentral's name for it is "partial 16S ribosomal RNA". It matches the Rfam family "Bacterial small subunit ribosomal RNA", at positions 28 to 523 of the family's 1533-position model. The record is from RNAcentral.
GAUGAACGCUGACAGAAUGCUUAACACAUGCAAGUCGAUUCGAAUUACUCUUCGGGGUAAGGAGGAUGGCGGACGGGUGAGUAACGCGUAAGGAACUUGCCUCUUGGACUGGGACAACUGUUGGAAACGACAGCUAAUACCGGAUAUUAUGAGAUUCACACAUGUGCAACUCAUGAAAGCUAUAUGCGCCAAGAGAGAGCCUUGCGUUCCAUUAGCUAGUUGGUGGGGUAAUGGCCCACCAAGGCGACGAUGGAUAGCCGGCCUGAGAGGGUGAACGGCCACAAGGGGACUGAGACACGGCCCUUACUCCUACGGGAGGCAGCAGUGGGGAAUAUUGGACAAUGGACCGAAAGUCUGAUCCAGCAAUUCUGUGUGCACGAUGAAGGUCUUCGGAUUGUAAAGUGCUUUCAGUUGGGAAGAAGAAAGUGACGGUACCAACAGAAGAAGCGACGGCUAAAUACGUGCCAGCCGCCGCCGUAA